This is a long non-coding RNA of Lycium barbarum (goji berry), 510 nucleotides long. RefSeq lists it as uncharacterized. The record is from RefSeq and is a predicted model, not a curated record. Lineage: Eukaryota; Viridiplantae; Streptophyta; Magnoliopsida; Solanales; Solanaceae. The transcript is spliced from 3 exons.
CCACCAAAUUCCCGGUCAAAAUUAAAUACUAAACCGCAUAAGAUAGAGUCACUAGAAGUUAGGGUUUUCUACUUUUGUUUCCUUUGAGCCUGAGUACUGCCUCUCCUCUCCUCUCAAGUGUGCCCUAAGAUUGACCUCUCAAUCUCCGCGGCCGACGAGAGUAGCACUUUCAAGCUUAAAAGAUGUGCCAGAGGAAGCAGAAAAGAGCAAUUAGGAAUAGUUCGUCAAGGAGCAUUUUUAACUAAAACAUUUAAGAUUAAGAAUUUGAAGCUUGAAGAACCGUUCCUUCAAGAACGUGCAGGGCAAGUUCAAGUACAAGAGAUUUUCAUUUGGUUAAGGGUGGUCUGAAGAUGUUCUCUUAUGUACAUAUGCAGCAUUUCUAGUUUGUCUUUUUAGGAGUUGAUAAAAAUAAUGUCAUAUAGUUUGAAUGUGUAUAUUUUGUGGAAAUGCAAUGCUUUAGUUCUUUGUAUAAACAAUGAAAAUUUUGAAAUGCAUAUUGAUUAUCUGGUA